GCCUACCUUCUGUCUCAAUAUCUCUGAUCAUCUGCCAUCUCCCACAGCUGGAAAGUCUGCAAAAAAGAAAGAAACUAAAAUAAACACGUUUAAAUGAAAGAGUUCUUCUGGCAGGGAGCUUAAGAGGUGAUCAAGAGGCUUAAAGCACGUAAACACUUGGCGGACCUCUCGCUGUUGUGGCCUCUCCCGCUGCGGAGCACAGGCUCUGGACGCGCAGGCCCAGCGGCCACGGCUCACGGGCCCAGCCGCUCCACCGCAUGUGGGAUCUUCCCGGACAGAACCACGAACCACGUCCCCUGCAUCGGCAGGUGGACUCUCAACCACUGCGCCGCCAGGGAAGCCCCGAAGACCACAUUUUGAGAGCACUAAUCUAGUGUAUCCUUUCACUCCUUAUCCACAGCUACUGCAGCAUGCUCUCCUCAUAUCUUGGCCAGACAACCACAAAAAAACAACGUCAAUCAUCACCUUUCUCAUCCCCAAUCCUGUCUAUCCUGAACAAUUUUAACAAGUAAAAACACAAACCUAAUAAAAUUAUCCAACAAAUUAAUGUUUCUUGAAUCUCUCCAAUGGUAUGCCACUGACCAGAAAGCAAGAUAAUCACUUUCACCUUACAGUUUACCAUGCUCUCCGUUUGUACAGGAUGUUUCCCUUGCAUAA
Long non-coding RNA from Lagenorhynchus albirostris (white-beaked dolphin), 657 nucleotides. RefSeq lists it as uncharacterized. The record is from RefSeq and is a predicted model, not a curated record. The transcript has 3 exons. NCBI's taxonomy places the organism in Eukaryota, Metazoa, Chordata, Mammalia, Artiodactyla, Delphinidae.